RNAcentral lists this small RNA (671 nucleotides) under Pongo abelii (Sumatran orangutan). RNAcentral describes it as "retained intron". Lineage: Eukaryota; Metazoa; Chordata; Mammalia; Primates; Hominidae. The record is from RNAcentral.
GUACAUUUAGUAGAGAUGGGGUUUCACCAUGUUAGCCAGGAUGGUCUCGAUCUCCUGACCUCGUGAUCCACCCGCCUCGGCCUCCUAAAGUGCUGGGAUUACAGGCGUGAGCCACUGUGCCCGGCCAGAAUUACAGAUCUUUACAGCAAAUGCUUAUAUUUUAAGAAGUGUGUCUGUCACCUCUAGUCUUGGUGGCUCAGAUGAAGGAUAACUGCAUUUCUCAACCAGUGAUGUAUUUACAGUAGGUGCUGCUUUUCUUUUGUGUGUGUGUAUCUUAGGAAUCUUUUGGGUGAGUUGUGAGGCUGGCACCUACAUUCGGACAUUAUGUGUGCACCUUGGUUUGUUAUUGGGAGUUGGUGGUCAGAUGCAGGAGCUUCGGAGGGUUCGUUCUGGAGUCAUGAGUGAAAAGGACCACAUGGUGACAAUGCACGAUGUGCUUGAUGCUCAGUGGCUGUAUGAUAACCACAAGGAUGAGAGUUACCUGCGGCGAGUUGUUUACCCUUUGGAAAAGCUGUUGACAUCUCAUAAACGGCUGGUUAUGAAAGACAGUGCAGUAAAUGCCAUCUGCUAUGGGGCCAAGAUCAUGCUUCCAGGUGUUCUUCGAUAUGAGGACGGCAUUGAGGUCAAUCAGGAGAUUGUGGUUAUCACCACCAAAGGAGAAGCAAUCUGCA